RNAcentral lists this ribosomal RNA (405 nucleotides) under Bacteroidetes bacterium enrichment culture clone LiUU-15-773. RNAcentral's name for it is "bacterial SSU rRNA". It matches the Rfam family "Bacterial small subunit ribosomal RNA", at positions 509 to 916 of the family's 1533-position model. Lineage: Bacteria; Pseudomonadati; Bacteroidota. The record is from RNAcentral.
CAGCCGCCGCGGUAUUCGGAGGGUGCAAAGCGUUAUCCGGAAUCAUUGGGUUUAAAGGGUCCGCAGGCGGAUUUAUAAGUCAGUGGUGAAAGCCUACAGCUCAACUGUAGAACUGCCAUUGAUACUGUAAGUCUUGAAUUCGGUCGAAGUGGGCGGAAUAUGACAUGUAGCGGUGAAAUGCUUAGAUAUGUCAUAGAACACCGAUAGCGAAGGCAGCUCACUAGGCCUGGAUUGACGCUCAGGGACGAAAGCGUGGGGAGCAAACAGGAUUAGAUACCCUGGUAGUCCACGCCGUAAACUAUCAAUACUCGUUUUCAGCGAUACACAGUUGGAGACUAAGCGAAAGUGAUAAGUAUUGCACCUGGGGAGUACGAUCGCAGGGUUGAAACUUAAAGGAAUUGACGG